Metopolophium dirhodum (rose-grain aphid) is the source of this 2134-nucleotide long non-coding RNA. RefSeq lists it as uncharacterized. The record is from RefSeq and is a predicted model, not a curated record. The transcript has 9 exons. NCBI's taxonomy places the organism in Eukaryota, Metazoa, Arthropoda, Insecta, Hemiptera, Aphididae.
CGGAGGUUCGGACUUCAGAUCAUAUAGUAAUAAUAUUAUGAUCAUAAAUCGUAAAGAAAACCCUGAAAAAUUUAAUAAUUAUUAAUUUCCGCCUUUUCGCAUGUUAUAAUAUUGUUGUAUUUUACAGUGGGUUUUGCGAAACGUUUUUCCAAGUUUCCCACCCGCGACCAGCUGACCGCCGUGCCAAGCGCCAACUCACGUCUCACGCACCGUCACGCAGUAGUGUUUGCCGUUUUCGCCGACCCAACGUAUUUUGUUGUCGCUGCUCAAAACUUUGACCAUACUAGGACAUAAUAUCGUCGACCCUGUUCGUGCUGUAUAGCUUUUCAAAAUGCGCUCAUUCACAGUCAUCAUAAUGGUGGUGAUACCUAUUUGAUUUGUCUUGAUAUAACCAUAGAAUAGAUGAAUAGAAAAAAUAGAUUCUUUGUUAUUGAGGUUGAGUUUGGAUAUCCGAAAUGUUCGGGCAUACAUUAUCAUACCGACCAUGGUCGGACACAGCCUUUAAAAUACCUCACUUAACGAAAGGUUCAUUGCUCAGAUUGGACAAAUAGGUUGCCCAAAAGUUGUUGGAAAAAGAAUUGUAGAAAACCAAGAAAUCGACUUUACACUUCUUUACAGAUAACGACAAUGAAGAACAAGAUGUUAAAGAGACAAUUUUAAAAAGCAAUCUAAAACAUACAAUCAAAGCCAUUAAGAAUUUAUGACUUAACAAUAAGUUGUGUGGUAAAUAUAUUAAUUUUAUAUUGUAAUAUAUAGGUAAUGGAUAGACAUUAUCAAUCUGCUCUUGAAGAAACUGCAACAGACGCUGGAGAGUUAUCAAAACAAGAAAUAUUGAAAAAAUCAUAUAAUCGUAGUGUAAAUUAUUCAUCUUCAGAUUCUAAAGAUAAGCAGAAACGUCAUCGUUUGAGGAGGAGUAGUAACUAGUAACAAAAGUGAUAAAUAGAACCAACAAAAUUAACUAUAUUAUUAUAAAAAAAACAAGAAAAAGUGGUAUCUAACUGUGAUCAUCGAUCCAGUAAAAUACCAUCUAUUAGAAAUAAAGAUGAACCUUCAAUUCUUAAUGUCAGACUUCAAGACCAAUUAGAACUACUUGAGAUGAAAUAAUCAAAAUAUGUCUUAAUAUAAAUCUACUUGGGACAUGCCCACCCAUAUCAAAUAUUGAUGAUGAUCCUACUUAAACAACAAGAUUUACGCCAGCGUAAAAGUAUAACAAGUGGGAUAGUUAUCGUGGUUCAGGAGCUACACCUAAUCCUGGAAAAGAAAAUGUUCUAUUAUGGGCUUGUGAAACUGAUAGAGAUGAAUGGGACGAAGCCCAAAACCGAUUAGAUAGGUGGUGGUAUAAUUGAGAUGAAGGAGUUGAUGAAACUAAAAAUCCAUUUAGUGAUGUCAGCGAAACAUAUGCCAACAAAUAAAACAGUUGAUGGAAUUAAAUUUGUUGUUGAUACUAGUUAUUAUAAAAUUAAAAUUUAUAAUCUUCAAAUUGGUGUGAAUGCAUUGCAAAUUUAUCCUUUCAGACAAGCAAAUACUAAUCAAGGAAGUGGUAUAGCUGGUCGUAUAGAAGUCCCAGGCAAUAUUUCCGAUUCUACACCAAAAAGAAAUACAUAGACGAUUUACUAAUCAGUAUAGUUCCUGAAAUUCUAAGAACCAAUCUAGAGCUAACACCGUGUUAUUACUGAAAUCAUUGGGAAUCCAAGACUUACUCCAGUUUCAUUUAAUGGACCCUCCAGCCACCUCCACAAGACAACAUUUCAAAUUCUUUAUAUCAGUUGUGGGUACUGGGAGCACUGGACAAUACAGGAAAAUCAAGAAUCAAGGAUCAGAAACUUUCACAAAACCAAAAAAAUUAAUAUAAAUAAUAUGAUAGGCAAAAACAAAUGUAAACUUAACAAUAUUAGCCAUACUACAAAAUUUUUAAAAUUUAGUUUGUAUUCAAUUUAGUUAUACUAUAGGCAAUAAAAAUAACUUAUUAUUAUGUACAAUGAUAUAAUAAUCAAAAAUGUAUAUAUUCCAUGGUUAAAUACAUGUCAUUUAUGUUUCUAAUUUAAUUACUUUGCAAUGUAUUAAUAUCUAAAUUAUACCACACUUCAUACCAUUUAUUAAACUGCAUUAUGAAUUACUAUGAACAAUUGUAAUA